ACGGGUGAGUAACACGUGGGAACGUGCCCUUCGGUUCGGAAUAACUCAGGGAAACUUGAGCUAAUACCGGAUACGCCCUUAUGGGGAAAGGUUUACUGCCGAAGGAUCGGCCCGCGUCUGAUUAGCUUGUUGGUGGGGUAACGGCCUACCAAGGCGACGAUCAGUAGCUGGUCUGAGAGGAUGAUCAGCCACACUGGGACUGAGACACGGCCCAGACUCCUACGGGAGGCAGCAGUGGGGAAUAUUGGACAAUGGGCGCAAGCCUGAUCCAGCCAUGCCGCGUGAGUGAUGAAGGCCUUAGGGUUGUAAAGCUCUUUUGUCCGGGACGAUAAUGACGGUACCGGAAGAAUAAGCCCCGGCUAACUUCGUGCCAGCAGCCGCGGUAAUACGAAGGGGGCUAGCGUUGCUCGGAAUCACUGGGCGUAAAGGGCGCGUAGGCGGCCGAUUAAGUCGGGGGUGAAAGCCUGUGGCUCAACCACAGAAUUGCCUUCGAUACUGGUUGGCUUGAGGCCGGAAGAGGACAGCGGAACUGCGAGUGUAGAGGUGAAAUUCGUAGA
Molecule: ribosomal RNA, 557 nt
Filed under: uncultured Methylobacterium sp.
Lineage: Bacteria; Pseudomonadati; Pseudomonadota; Alphaproteobacteria; Hyphomicrobiales; Methylobacteriaceae
Description: bacterial SSU rRNA
Rfam family: Bacterial small subunit ribosomal RNA
Source: RNAcentral